Archocentrus centrarchus (flier cichlid) is the source of this 448-nucleotide long non-coding RNA. RefSeq lists it as uncharacterized. NCBI's taxonomy places the organism in Eukaryota, Metazoa, Chordata, Actinopteri, Cichliformes, Cichlidae. The transcript has 3 exons. The record is from RefSeq and is a predicted model, not a curated record.
UGUGUGUGUGUGUGUGUGUGUGUGUGUGUGUGUUUGGUCAUGGAUACUAAGAGUGGAGGCUCCACCUUCAGAUGCCAUCAAGGCAGCCAAGGCCCCUGGAAGUCCAGGAGGUAAAUGAAGCUUUUAAGCAGGGCGGAGGGAAGGGGGACCGCUGAAAAGAUUAAUUGACUUUCUGCAGAGCUUCACUUAUCCUCCACUGGCACCUUUGACUUGAUCUGAAAUUACUUUCGUACUCCCCAUUUUCUUCAUCCCUCGACGCUGAGCCAGGCCAGAAGACUGAACAGGCUCCAGGACAGGAGCAGGAGCGCAGCGCCUCAGAGCAGUGUAGGUGGCGGACAGCGCCCCCUAGUGGAAUAAAAAGAAAAUACAUUGUAUAACAUCAGUGUUAUAAUCUGGGGUUGGCGACCUUUACUAUCUAAAGAGCCAUUUUAAAGAUGUGUGGAGCUAA